This 467-nucleotide ribosomal RNA is filed under the name uncultured bacterium. Its description in RNAcentral is "partial 16S ribosomal RNA". It matches the Rfam family "Bacterial small subunit ribosomal RNA", at positions 28 to 507 of the family's 1533-position model. The record is from RNAcentral.
GACGAACGCUGGCGGCGUGCUUAACACAUGCAAGUCGAACGGAAAGGCCCUGCUUUUGUGGGGUGCUCGAGUGGCGAACGGGUGAGUAACACGUGAGUAACCUGCCCUUGACUUUGGGAUAACUUCAGGAAACUGGGGCUAAUACCGGAUAGGAGCUCCUGCUGCAUGGUGGGGGUUGGAAAGUUUCGGCGGUUGGGGAUGGACUCGCGGCUUAUCAGCUUGUUGGUGGGGUAGUGGCUUACCAAGGCUUUGACGGGUAGCCGGCCUGAGAGGGUGACCGGCCACAUUGGGACUGAGAUACGGCCCAGACUCCUACGGGAGGCAGCAGUGGGGAAUAUUGCACAAUGGGCGGAAGCCGGAUGCAGCACGCCGCGUGCGGGAUGACGGCCUUCGGGUUGUAAACCGCUUUCGCCUGUGACGAAGCGUGAGUGACGGUAAUGGGUAAAGAAGCACCGGCUAACUACGUG